GAUUAACGCUGGCGGCGUGCAUAACACAUGCAAGUCGAACGAAGUGGCGGACGGGUGAGUAAAGCGUGAGUAACCUGCCUUAGAGAAGGGGAUAGCCUUUGGAAACGAAGAAUAAUACCCUAUACUCUAAUAUGGACUUGCGUCUGAUUAGUUAGUUGGUGGGGUAACGGCGCACCAAGACAGCGAUCAGUAGCUGGGUUUGGAGAGUGUACGGCAACAUUAGGACUGGGACAAGGCCCAGACUCUACGGGAGGCAGCAAGGGGGAAUUUUGCACAAUGGGGGAAACCCUGAUGCAUCGGCGCCGCGUGAUUUAGAAGGCCUUCGGGUUGUAAAAAUCUUUUCUAUGGGAAGCAGUACCAUAGGAAUAAGGACCGGCUAAUUACGUGCCAGCCGCCGCGGUAAUUC
Molecule: ribosomal RNA, 406 nt
Filed under: uncultured bacterium
Lineage: Bacteria
Description: partial 16S ribosomal RNA
Rfam family: Bacterial small subunit ribosomal RNA
Source: RNAcentral